GACGAACGCUGGCGGCGUGCUUAGCACAUGCCAGUCGAACGGAAAGGCCCUUCGGGGUACUCGAGUGGCGAACGGGUGAGUAACACGUGGGUGAUCUGCCCUGCACUUUGGGAUAAGCCUGGGAAACUGGGUCUAAUACCGAAUAGGACCACGCGCUUCAUGGUGUGUGGUGGAAAGCUUUUGCGGUGUGGGAUGGGCCCGCGGCCUAUCAGCUUGUUGGUGGGGUAAUGGCCUACCAAGGCGACGACGGGUAGCCGGCCUGAGAGGGUGACCGGCCACACUGGGACUGAGAUACGGCCCAGACUCCUACGGGAGGCAGCAGUGGGGAAUAUUGCACAAUGGGCGCAAGCCUGAUGCAGCGACGCCGCGUGAGGGAUGACGGCCUUCGGGUUGUAAACCUCUUUCAAUAGGGACGAAGCGCAAGUGACGGUACCUAUAGAAGAAGCACCGGCCAACUACGU
Molecule: ribosomal RNA, 461 nt
Filed under: uncultured bacterium
Lineage: Bacteria
Description: partial 16S ribosomal RNA
Rfam family: Bacterial small subunit ribosomal RNA
Source: RNAcentral